AUUUAAGUAGUUUAAGAUAAAAUGGUGAUUUGUGAUGUCACAGAUGUAGUAUGUUACCUUAGGUU
This 65-nucleotide transfer RNA is filed under the name Ruspolia sp. ZJZ-2017. RNAcentral describes it as "tRNA-His". The record is from RNAcentral. Lineage: Eukaryota; Metazoa; Arthropoda; Insecta; Orthoptera; Tettigoniidae.